This is a long non-coding RNA of Nomia melanderi (Alkali bee), 359 nucleotides long. RefSeq lists it as uncharacterized. The record is from RefSeq and is a predicted model, not a curated record. Lineage: Eukaryota; Metazoa; Arthropoda; Insecta; Hymenoptera; Halictidae.
CGAUAAUUGUGAGUGCUAGGAGAAUGUUUGCAGUGAGAUAUUGUGGAUCAAAAAGUGUCUAAAUUUGUAUAAUUGGUCACGGUUACGUUCUGAUCCUAAGCUUGUUAAGAGGAAUGGAUACGGUUUUAUGGUCGCUUAUUAGCUAAUGCGUUAUCUUUGCAAUCUUUAUUGUUUCUUCUACAUUGGUACUUUCGUUUUAUUUCGUUAUUGAAUACCGGCCUGAAGUUCCCAUUCACUUCCUAAGAAGUAUCAUUAACCGGAUAAGAUUUGAAUGCUCGUAGUGGAAGAAACCUACGCAUACGUCUAUACUUACACGUACCACGUCAAGUUCAUGGCCCUUUGAAGAAAUUAUCAGUCAG